CACUAAAGGAGCUUAAUGUAUACAGCGCUAGACUUUUAAUCUAGAAAAGAGUGUGAACACUCCUUAGUGA
Molecule: transfer RNA, 70 nt
Filed under: Pelomedusa subrufa
Lineage: Eukaryota; Metazoa; Chordata; Testudines; Pelomedusidae
Description: tRNA-Lys
Rfam family: tRNA
About the family: Transfer RNA (tRNA) molecules are approximately 80 nucleotides in length. Their secondary structure includes four short double-helical elements and three loops (D, anti-codon, and T loops).
Source: RNAcentral